UACGGAGGGUGCAAGCGUUGUCCGGAUUUAUUGGGUUUAAAGGGUGCGUAGGCGGUCUUUUAAGUCAGUGGUGAAAUCCUCCAGCUUAACUGGAGAACUGCCAUUGAUACUGAAAGACUUGAGUACAGACGAGGUAGGCGGAAUUGACAGUGUAGCGGUGAAAUGCAUAGAUAUUGUCAAGAACUCCGAUUGCGAAGGCAGCUUACUAGACUGUAACUGACGCUGAGGCACGAAAGUGUGGGGAUCAAACAGG
Molecule: ribosomal RNA, 253 nt
Filed under: uncultured bacterium
Lineage: Bacteria
Description: partial 16S ribosomal RNA
Rfam family: Bacterial small subunit ribosomal RNA
Source: RNAcentral